UUAUUAUUUUAAUAUUGUUAAAAGAAAUUUUAAAACUUGUAUUCCAGGAUUCAAGAGAAAAACAGAAAAUUAAUUUCAGGACUUAAGAUAUUCAUUUUCAAGAUCCAUCCCUAUUGUCUUGGUAACCGUGAAUGACCGUACAUCAAAAAUUUAACGGAAAAAUCAGGUACAUUUGUUAUCCAUGUAACAAACAGAAAAUGAAUAUUAUAAUUGCAUUUAAGUUUUCCAUCUCGUUAUAUUUCUUAUUUUUAAUUGCUAUAACAAUUUGAUUUGUGGUAAAGUCUCAGAUUAAGGAAACCCAAGAUUACACUUUCAAAAGUUGUUUCUGUUUUAG
Molecule: long non-coding RNA, 334 nt
Organism: Limulus polyphemus (Atlantic horseshoe crab)
Lineage: Eukaryota; Metazoa; Arthropoda; Merostomata; Xiphosura; Limulidae
Exons: 2
Source: RefSeq, a predicted model, not a curated record